AGUAAAGUGGCCGAGAGUAGGCAAAAGAUUGUAGCUCUUUCCACGGGCCAUCCCCUUUACAA
RNAcentral lists this transfer RNA (62 nucleotides) under Prolasmidonta heterodon. Its description in RNAcentral is "tRNA-Tyr". The record is from RNAcentral. Lineage: Eukaryota; Metazoa; Mollusca; Bivalvia; Unionida; Unionidae.